This 22-nucleotide non-coding RNA is filed under the name Rattus norvegicus (Norway rat). Lineage: Eukaryota; Metazoa; Chordata; Mammalia; Rodentia; Muridae. The record is from RNAcentral.
CAGAUGUGCUAGGAUCAGUUGC